This 490-nucleotide ribosomal RNA is filed under the name uncultured bacterium. Its description in RNAcentral is "bacterial SSU rRNA". It matches the Rfam family "Bacterial small subunit ribosomal RNA", at positions 30 to 516 of the family's 1533-position model. The record is from RNAcentral.
AUUGAACGCUGGCGGCAUGCCUUACACAUGCAAGUCGAACGGUAACGGGCCUUCGGGUGCCGACGAGUGGCGAACGGGUGAGUAAUGCAUCGGAACGUACCUUUCAGUGGGGGAUAACGUAGCGAAAGUUACGCUAAUACCGCAUAUUCUGUGAGCAGGAAAGCAGGGGAUCGCAAGACCUUGCGCUGAUUGAGCGGCCGAUGUCAGAUUAGCUAGUUGGUGAGGUAAAGGCUCACCAAGGCGACGAUCUGUAGCGGGUCUGAGAGGAUGAUCCGCCACACUGGGACUGAGACACGGCCCAGACUCCUACGGGAGGCAGCAGUGGGGAAUUUUGGACAAUGGGGCAACCCUGAUCCAGCCAUGCCGCGUGAGUGAAGAAGGCCUUCGGGUUGUAAAGCUCUUUCAGACGGAAAGAAAACGCAUCGGUGAAUACCCGAUGUGGAUGACGGUACCGUAAGAAGAAGCACCGGCUAACUACGUGCCAGCAGCC